Molecule: non-coding RNA, 21 nt
Filed under: Caenorhabditis elegans
Lineage: Eukaryota; Metazoa; Nematoda; Chromadorea; Rhabditida; Rhabditidae
Source: RNAcentral
UAUGGAGUUUUCAAUAUAAUA